GUCCUAGCCCUAAACGAUCAGGUCUUGAGGUGGGCACCGUCCGGUGUCCGUCUCGCAGCCAACGCGAUAAGACCUGCGCCUGGGGAGUACGGUCGCAAGACUGAAACUCAAAGGAAUUGACGGGGGCCCGCACAAGCGGUGGAACAUGUGGUUCAAUUCGACGCAACGCGAAGAACCUUACCUGGGCUCGAAAUGCCAGUGACCAUCCGUAGAAAUAUGGACUUCCCGCAAGGGACACUAGUAUAGGUGCUGCAUGGCUGUCGU
Molecule: ribosomal RNA, 264 nt
Filed under: uncultured bacterium
Lineage: Bacteria
Description: partial 16S ribosomal RNA
Rfam family: Bacterial small subunit ribosomal RNA
Source: RNAcentral